CCCUUAGAUGUUCUGGGCUGCACGCGCGCUACACUGAUGCGCUCAACGAGUUUUAACCUUGCCUGGAAAGGUUGGGUAAUCUUUUUAAAACGCAUCGUGAUGGGGAUAGAUUAUUGCAAUUAUUAAUCUUCAACGAGGAAUUCCUAGUAAACGCAAGUCAUCAGCUUGCAUUGAAUACGUCCCUGCCCUUUGUACACACCGCCCGUCGCACCUACCGAUUGAAUGGUCCGGUGAAAUCUUCGGACUCUGUGUUUAUUGAUUCGUUUCAAUUUACUACUGGAGAAAGUUGAGUAAACCUUACCAUUUAGAGGAAGGUGAAGUCGUAACA
This 328-nucleotide ribosomal RNA is filed under the name uncultured eukaryote. RNAcentral describes it as "partial 18S ribosomal RNA". It matches the Rfam family "Eukaryotic small subunit ribosomal RNA", at positions 1470 to 1796 of the family's 1831-position model. The record is from RNAcentral.